RNAcentral lists this ribosomal RNA (652 nucleotides) under Hyperaeschrella occidentalis. RNAcentral describes it as "eukaryotic LSU rRNA". Lineage: Eukaryota; Metazoa; Arthropoda; Insecta; Lepidoptera; Notodontidae. The record is from RNAcentral.
GGGGUAAACCUGCGAAACUCGAAUGAACGAACGGAGAGAUUCAUCGUCACUCCGCGGCGUACGGGUGCGCGCUUCGAUGUCCGCCGGCCUCGCGGUCGGCGGGCACGUCGCGUACGCGUCGACGUCCGCGGACGGCGUGCACUUCUCUCUUAGUAACGCAUGCAUCGCGACCCGUUCGAUGUCGGCCUAAGCGCCGUCCGGGAGCCCCGCCGCCGCCCCCCUUCGGGGGGGAGGCGACACGGGACCGCGACGGACGCCGACCGGCCGUCGGACGGUAUAACAUAUGACACGCGCACGCGUUUACAACGCGUCCGGCCCGACGCAAGUCAACGUCGUAUCCGACGUACCGCCCGAGCGCGGACGUUGGUGCGGCGCGUCUGUCGUCGCCGCCGUGCAGUCUCGGACCGUGCGCGUCUCCGUCUGCGAUGAUUCAGUUUCGGGCACUCGCAGGACCCGUCUUGAAACACGGACCAAGGAGUCUAGCAUGUAUGCGAGUCAUUGAGUCUAAUCAUUUAAUACAUAAAACUGAAAGGCGCAACGAAAGUGAAGGCGCGCGCUAGUCGCGCGCUCAGGGAGGAUGGAGCGUCGAUCUCGGUCGAUCUCUCGCACUCCCGAGGCGUCUCGUUUCCAAUCCGUGAAUGCAGGCGCGCUC